This 255-nucleotide ribosomal RNA is filed under the name uncultured bacterium. RNAcentral describes it as "partial 16S ribosomal RNA". It matches the Rfam family "Bacterial small subunit ribosomal RNA", at positions 524 to 776 of the family's 1533-position model. The record is from RNAcentral.
UACGGGGGGAGCAAGCGUUGUUCGGAUUUACUGGGCGUAAAGGGCGCGUAGGCGGCCACCGCAAGUCAGUUGUGAAAGCUCUAGGCUUAACCCAGAAAGGUCAGCUGAUACUGCGGGGCUAGAGUGCAGAAGGGGCAACUGGAAUUCUCGGUGUAGCGGUGAAAUGCGUAGAUAUCGAGAGGAACACCUGCGGCGAAGGCGGGUUGCUGGGCUGACACUGACGCUGACAGCGCGAAAGCUAGGGGAGCGAACGGG